This 253-nucleotide ribosomal RNA is filed under the name uncultured bacterium. Its description in RNAcentral is "partial 16S ribosomal RNA". It matches the Rfam family "Bacterial small subunit ribosomal RNA", at positions 524 to 776 of the family's 1533-position model. The record is from RNAcentral.
UACGAAGGGGGCUAGCGUUGUUCGGAUUUACUGGGCGUAAAGCGCGCGUAGGCGGACAUCUAAGUCAGGGGUGAAAUCCCAAGGCUCAACCUUGGAACUGCCUUUGAUACUGGACGUCUGGAGAUCGGGAGAGGUGAGUGGAAUUCCGAGUGUAGAGGUGAAAUUCGUAGAUAUUCGGAGGAACACCAGAAGCGAAGGCGGCUCACUGGCCCGAUACUGACGCUGAGGCGCGAAAGCGUGGGGAGCAAACAGG